This is a long non-coding RNA of Lutra lutra (Eurasian river otter), 136 nucleotides long. RefSeq lists it as uncharacterized. The record is from RefSeq and is a predicted model, not a curated record. The transcript has 3 exons. NCBI's taxonomy places the organism in Eukaryota, Metazoa, Chordata, Mammalia, Carnivora, Mustelidae.
CAUAUUUUAAACCUUCGUCAGGGAGUUUUAAGAACUCCCAUGUUGGGGUGCCUGGGUGGCUCAGUGGGUUAAAGUCUCUGCCUUUGGCUCAGGUCAUGAUCCCAGGGUCCUGGGAUUGAGCUCUGCAUUGGGCUCU